Molecule: long non-coding RNA, 470 nt
Organism: Alligator mississippiensis (American alligator)
Lineage: Eukaryota; Metazoa; Chordata; Crocodylia; Alligatoridae
Exons: 3
Source: RefSeq, a predicted model, not a curated record
GGAAACUUGGCUCUGAUGCAGUCUACUGUCUGCAGCAGCAGAAUAAAGGAACUAGGGGCUGAUGUUUGGACUUACAAGCUUGAGAGGAAGGACAUGAGGACACGAAGACACAGGUUAUGAAAUGCCUGGACACAGGAGGAGGGGUGGAUGUCGUAUACUUAGACUUCAGGAAGGCCUUCGAUACUGUAUCCCACCCCAUACUGGUGAACAAGUUAAGAGGCUGUGACUUGGAUGACUACACAGUCCGUGCUAAGCAAGCUGGUAUAUCCUUGCCUUGGAUGUGAAGAGACCUGCCACAAGUGGAACUGGCCUGUCUGCAGAGAAGAGAAGUCAGAUACUAUGGAUGCCCUCCCCUAAGUGGCGAGAGGGCUAAAUCACUCUGUGAAACAAAGUGGUGGUGAAAAGUUUGUUAAACAAAGUUAUGCAUUUGCAACUAAGUCUGCUUUUCUGUUACCUAGGAACAAGUUACC